UACGUAGGGGGCUAGCGUUGUCCGGAAUCAUUGGGCGUAAAGAGCGUGUAGGCGGCCCGGUAAGUCCGCUGUGAAAGUCGGGGGCUCAACCCUCGAAUGCCGGUGGAUACUGUCGGGCUAGAGUGCGGAAGAGGCGAGUGGAAUUCCUGGUGUAGCGGUGGAAUGCGCAGAUAUCAGGAGGAACACCGAUUGCGAAGGCAGCUCGCUGGGACGUCACUGACGCUGAGACGCGAAAGCGUGGGGAGCAAACAGG
This 253-nucleotide ribosomal RNA is filed under the name uncultured bacterium. RNAcentral describes it as "partial 16S ribosomal RNA". It matches the Rfam family "Bacterial small subunit ribosomal RNA", at positions 524 to 776 of the family's 1533-position model. The record is from RNAcentral.